GCUACAAGCCAGGCUAUCGCUUCUUAUUUAUUUAGGAGGAGGAAAGUCCGGACAGCACAGAGCAAUGCACCGGUGAAGAGCCGGCUGGUUGGCAACAACCAAGAGAUAGUGCCACAGAAAAUAACUGCCUUCGGGUAAGGGUGAAAAUGUGAGGUAAGAGCUCACAGCUUUUGAUGGUAACAUCAUUGGCGGGUAAACCUUGCAUGCUGAAAUGCCACAUAUAGGUUCGUUUGAGAACGGCUCGUUCAAGAACCAGGGUAGGCAGCUUGAGUCCAAUGUGUAAAUGUUGGAACAGAUAAAUGAUAGCCCCCGACAGAAUCCGGCUUACCGGCUUGUAGCUUUU
This 343-nucleotide RNase P RNA is filed under the name Chitinophagaceae bacterium IBVUCB2. RNAcentral's name for it is "Bacterial RNase P class A". It matches the Rfam family "Bacterial RNase P class A". From Rfam's summary of the family: Ribonuclease P (RNase P) is a ubiquitous endoribonuclease, found in archaea, bacteria and eukarya as well as chloroplasts and mitochondria. Its best characterised activity is the generation of mature 5'-ends of tRNAs by cleaving the 5'-leader elements of precursor-tRNAs. The record is from Rfam by way of RNAcentral. Lineage: Bacteria; Pseudomonadati; Bacteroidota; Chitinophagia; Chitinophagales; Chitinophagaceae.